UGUGGCAGACCAGUGCAGUAAAUUUAAGAUUUUCUUACAAAGUUAUCUUUCUUUAGAA
Molecule: transfer RNA, 58 nt
Filed under: Ponyalis quadricollis
Lineage: Eukaryota; Metazoa; Arthropoda; Insecta; Coleoptera; Lycidae
Description: tRNA-Leu
Source: RNAcentral